CUCUCUAGUUCUAUAACUUCAGUUAAUCUCAUAUGACCAAUUAAGGUUGUAUUUUUCGCCUUGGGGCCUGAACUAGUAAGUGAAAUAGAUGAUAGCUCAUGGCUGGUACAAAAAAAAUUCUUGGGCUGUGUCAAAGCUGAGGAAAUGUUGAAGAGUAGUGUUAUUUCAUUAUCAGCUCGCUCUUUUAUGCAGUAGGCCAGGAGAAUUCUCAUGACUUGCAUUCUUUUGCUUCUGAAUAUGAAUUUGUCCCAAUUUGGCCGUACAUCCAUUUGAUGGGAAAUGCAUGCAUCUAGGGAUGUCAACGGGUC
RNAcentral lists this long non-coding RNA (308 nucleotides) under Olea europaea (common olive). RNAcentral describes it as "long non-coding RNA (OEUR_LNC012306)". The record is from RNAcentral. Lineage: Eukaryota; Viridiplantae; Streptophyta; Magnoliopsida; Lamiales; Oleaceae.